Molecule: transfer RNA, 72 nt
Filed under: Candidatus Uhrbacteria bacterium
Lineage: Bacteria; Candidatus Uhriibacteriota
Description: tRNA-Ala
Rfam family: tRNA
About the family: Transfer RNA (tRNA) molecules are approximately 80 nucleotides in length. Their secondary structure includes four short double-helical elements and three loops (D, anti-codon, and T loops).
Source: RNAcentral
GGGCCCGUAGCUCAGCGGUAGAGCACUUCCAUGGCAUGGAAGGGGCCAGGGGUUCGAUCCCCCUCGGGUCCA